This 73-nucleotide transfer RNA is filed under the name Phrynosoma platyrhinos (Desert horned lizard). Its description in RNAcentral is "tRNA-OTHER". Lineage: Eukaryota; Metazoa; Chordata; Lepidosauria; Squamata; Phrynosomatidae. The record is from RNAcentral.
GGCCAGUGUGGUGUAGUGGUUUGAGUAAUGGACUACGACUCUGGAGACCAGGGUUCAAAUCCAGGCUUGGCCA